Molecule: ribosomal RNA, 513 nt
Filed under: uncultured Enterobacteriaceae bacterium
Lineage: Bacteria; Pseudomonadati; Pseudomonadota; Gammaproteobacteria; Enterobacterales; Enterobacteriaceae
Description: bacterial SSU rRNA
Rfam family: Bacterial small subunit ribosomal RNA
Source: RNAcentral
AUUGAACGCUGGCGGCAGGCCUAACACAUGCAAGUCGAACGGUAACAGAAAGCAGCUUGCUGCUUUGCUGACGAGUGGCGGACGGGUGAGUAAUGUCUGGGGAAACUGGCCCGGAUGGAGGGGGAUAACUACUGGAAACGGUAGCUAAUACCGCAUAACGUCGCAAGACCAAAGAGGGGACCUUCGGGCCUCUUGCCAUCGGAUGUGCCCCAGAUGGGAUUAGCUAGUAGGUGGGGUAAAGGCUCACCUAGGCGACGAUCCCCUAGCUGGUCUGAGAGGAUGACCAGCCCACACUGGAACUGAGACACGGUCCAGACUCCUACGGGGAGGCAGCAGUGGGGAAUAUUGCACAAUGGGGCGCAAGCCUGAUGCAGCCAUGCCGCGUGUAUGAAGAAGGCCUUCGGGUUGUAAAGUACUUCAGCGGGGAGGAAGGGAGUAAAGUUAAUACCUUUGCUCAUUGACGUUACCCGCAGAAGAAGCACCGGCUAACUCCGUGCCAGCAGCCGCGGUAAU